AUUUUUUAGAGAUGAUUAAAAAUGAGUCCUGCUCAAUGUAAAAUAAAUAGCCGCGGUAUUUUGACCGUGCAAAGGUAGCAUAAUAAUUAGUCUUAUAAUUUGAGACUGGAAUGAAGGGAUAAACUAGGAAGUUUCUUUCUUGGCUUCUUUUUUUGAAUUUUACUUUUUAGUAAAAAGGCUAAAAUAUUUCUUUUAGACAAGAAGACCCUAUAAAACUUUACAUAUAAUAGUUUAGAAAACUAAAAAUAUGUUUCACUGGGGCGGUGGGAAGAAGAAACACUUUCAGAAUACUAAAAUAGAACUAUUUUAAUACCCAAAAAUUUUGAAGAUUAAAUAAGUUACUUUAGGGAUAACAGCGUAAUGUGCUUUGAAAGUUCAAAUUGACAAGCAUGUUUGCGACCUCGAUGUUGGAUUAAACUUCCUCUGUUCCGCAAGAGGAACAAAUGGGGGUCUGUUCGACCCAUAAGAGUUUCCA
RNAcentral lists this ribosomal RNA (475 nucleotides) under Centruroides insularis. RNAcentral describes it as "partial 16S ribosomal RNA". It matches the Rfam family "Archaeal large subunit ribosomal RNA", at positions 1908 to 2669 of the family's 2987-position model. The record is from RNAcentral. Lineage: Eukaryota; Metazoa; Arthropoda; Arachnida; Scorpiones; Buthidae.